AACUCAAGAGAAAUGUUUUCAAUUAUUUAUUCUAUAAAUUUUGAAAACCCGGCUAAGUGAAUCAUAGAAUGUUAAGUACUUUACCGUGACUUAAGAUUAGAUUCAAGGAGACCUAUUAAGAAUAGAUUUCUUGUAGGCUUUGAACGUCAGGAGGAUUAGCACUGCUAUUCCGAUUCAGAGAUAAGGUUAAACGACAGGCUUUGCCUAUACAGGUUGGCUGGCUGGUGCUGACGGGACGGAGCUGAGGCUAGAGAUAAAUUCCUAUGUUAGACUUCCGCUGUAGCAAUUACUCAUAUCAGUCUUUUGUUUUCCCAAACUUAAGAUCUUCAUGUUAAAUUUCAAAUGAUAUACCUGACCGAGCUUAGACUCGUCACUACUAAAUUUAUGCUAAUGAAUGUCGGUUGUCAGAAGCAUGAAACAAAACUUGUGAUCCAAAGGGGCAUAGCCCGACUUUCUAUCCUAUUUCGGUUUUUAACAAGGUUUUUCCCCUGUUUAUUUCUAUGAAUUAUUCACACCUCGAUUAUAUUUA
Salvia miltiorrhiza (redroot sage) is the source of this 529-nucleotide long non-coding RNA. RefSeq lists it as uncharacterized. The record is from RefSeq and is a predicted model, not a curated record. The transcript is spliced from 2 exons. NCBI's taxonomy places the organism in Eukaryota, Viridiplantae, Streptophyta, Magnoliopsida, Lamiales, Lamiaceae.